GGGCUCAUCGUCUAAUGGAUAGGACAAAAACCUUCUAAGUUUUUUGUGUAGGUUCAAAUCCUACUGAGCUCA
Molecule: transfer RNA, 72 nt
Filed under: Verdigellas peltata
Lineage: Eukaryota; Viridiplantae; Prasinodermophyta; Palmophyllophyceae; Palmophyllales; Palmophyllaceae
Also listed under: 1 other name
Description: tRNA-Arg
Rfam family: tRNA
About the family: Transfer RNA (tRNA) molecules are approximately 80 nucleotides in length.
Source: RNAcentral